AAUUGGGGCGGGGUUAAGCACAGGUGUUGCUGUUUACUUCACUAGAGUGAUAAACACUCUGUUUGUUUUUGAAAAUUUGGGACAAUCUGAAGCACCAACCCUGUGUUUUUGGCUUCACUGAUGUACAGAAUGGGAUUUACAAGCAAAUUCUUCAGACCUCAUCUGCUAUACAGAUUCCUCCUUUCUCCCGAACAAGCUGGAUUCUUUGAUGAAUAGAAAGAACAGCAUUUAUUGGAAGUAGAAAUCCUUUGUACCAUUAUACUACAAAACGGCACCCCCAGACCCCAGUUUGUAAGCCCCUGCAGUAGGCAAGAGUAUGUUACAUGUAAUAAAAUAUAUUCACAAUGCAAUACGCUCAACCUUCCAC
This is a long non-coding RNA of Sinocyclocheilus anshuiensis, 367 nucleotides long. RefSeq lists it as uncharacterized. The transcript is spliced from 3 exons. Lineage: Eukaryota; Metazoa; Chordata; Actinopteri; Cypriniformes; Cyprinidae. The record is from RefSeq and is a predicted model, not a curated record.